Molecule: transfer RNA, 98 nt
Filed under: Lentinula raphanica
Lineage: Eukaryota; Fungi; Basidiomycota; Agaricomycetes; Agaricales; Omphalotaceae
Rfam family: tRNA
About the family: Transfer RNA (tRNA) molecules are approximately 80 nucleotides in length. Their secondary structure includes four short double-helical elements and three loops (D, anti-codon, and T loops).
Source: Rfam by way of RNAcentral
GGGCAUGUAGCGUAGGGGUUAUCGCGUUCGCUUUGCAUAACCGGUAUGUGUCGUAUGUACUUUGCGAAAGGUCUCCGGUUCAAAUCCGGACUUGUCCA